Molecule: long non-coding RNA, 207 nt
Filed under: Vitis vinifera (wine grape)
Lineage: Eukaryota; Viridiplantae; Streptophyta; Magnoliopsida; Vitales; Vitaceae
Description: long non-coding RNA (VVIN_LNC000510)
Source: RNAcentral
AAUGGAUUUGUUGACAUUUCUAUUUUAAUUACAUUAUGAAGAAGAUAACAUGCGGUGAUUAUGUGACUUUAUGUUUUUUGUUGGAGAAUAUAAUGGACUCUUUAAAAUACCUCAAUGCAAUUACAGCAAUCGAAAUCAUCUUUCAAUAACAUUUCGUGGUAUAGAAUGUUUCAUGUUAAAGAAUUCCUUUGAGGAAGUCGACAUAUU